Molecule: unclassified non-coding RNA, 201 nt
Filed under: Funneliformis mosseae
Lineage: Eukaryota; Fungi; Glomeromycota; Glomeromycetes; Glomerales; Glomeraceae
Description: partial contains 5.8S ribosomal RNA and internal transcribed spacer 2
Rfam family: 5.8S ribosomal RNA (bases 1-71)
Source: RNAcentral
GUGAAUCAUCAAAUUUUUGAACGCACAUUGCACUCCCUGGUAUUCCGGGGAGUAUGCCUGUUUGAGGGCCGUUAGAAUAAAAAAUCGGGGCGUCGCUCUUUUUUUUAGGGGUGAUCGCGUCGGUGGUGAGCCUUCUUUCAAAUGUUAAUUCAUGUCAAAGUGGCUUGAAAUUCAUCCAGCCGGUACGAUUAAAGCGUAUUG